This 475-nucleotide ribosomal RNA is filed under the name uncultured bacterium. RNAcentral describes it as "SSU rRNA". It matches the Rfam family "Bacterial small subunit ribosomal RNA", at positions 26 to 521 of the family's 1533-position model. The record is from RNAcentral.
AGGAUGAACGCUGGCGGCGUGCCUAACACAUGCAAGUCGAACGUCCUGUCUCGCAAGAGGCAGGGAGUGGCGGACGGGUGAGUACCACGUGGGUCAUCUACCGUGAGGUGAGGAAUACCGGCGAGAAAUCGCCGACAAGACCGCAUAGGCUCGAUGCAAGUCGAGCAAAGCUCUCUCGAGAGAGGGAGCGCCACACGAGGAGCCUGCGCCCGAUUAGCUAGCUGGUGGAGUAAUGGUUCACCAGGGCGACGAUCGGUAGCUGGUCUGAGAGGACGAUCAGCCACACUGGGAUUGAGAACGGCCCAGACUCCUACGGGGGGCAGCAGUGAGGAAUUUCGUCAAUGGGGGCAACCCUGAACGAGCAACGCCGCGUGCAGGAAGAAGGUUUUCGGAUCGUAAACUGCUUUUCUCGGGGAAGAGAACGGACGGUACCCGAGGAAUCAGCCCCGGCUAACUACGCGCCAGCAGCCGCGGU